UACAGAGGGUGCGAGCGUUAAUCGGACUUACUGGACGUAAAGGGUACGUAGGUGGUUAAUUAAGUCAGUUGUGAAAUCCCAGGGCUUAACCUUGGAACUGCAAUUGAAACUGGUUGACUAGAGUCGAAGAGAGGGGUGCGGAAUUUCCGGUGUAGCGGUGAAAUGCGUAGAUAUCGGAAGGAACACCAGUUGCGAAGGCGGCACCCUGGCUUCAGACUGACGCUGAGGUACGAAAGCGUGGGUAGCGAACAGG
RNAcentral lists this ribosomal RNA (253 nucleotides) under uncultured bacterium. RNAcentral's name for it is "partial 16S ribosomal RNA". It matches the Rfam family "Bacterial small subunit ribosomal RNA", at positions 524 to 776 of the family's 1533-position model. The record is from RNAcentral.